GGGAGUGCCAAGCUUCGACAAUUUAUUUUCUAUCUGAUUGACAAGCCAAGUCGCAGAACUUGUAAAAACUGCAAAAUUAUAAGUGCAAACUUAUUUCAAAAGCCAGUUUUAGCUUUCGCUUAACUGGUUUGUCCCGCCGCUUUUUGCCGCGGGUCCAUCGGCGCGCCAAUGCUUGAUAGACGCAUCACCGGUGUUACACAUCAAGCUUUGCCUUAAUAUUGCUGAUACCUAAGGCGAAACUAAUCAGCAAAAGAUUUAUAGCAUUUUGUUGGCUUUAAGCUAUAGAUCUUCAAAAAAACCAACUACGCUUGUAGAAGAUUUGAUGGUCAUAUUUUGGACGCGGGUGCAAUUCUCGCCACUUCCACAA
This 367-nucleotide transfer-messenger RNA is filed under the name Candidatus Harrisonbacteria bacterium RIFCSPLOWO2_02_FULL_45_10c. It matches the Rfam family "transfer-messenger RNA". Rfam says of the family: Bacterial tmRNA, also known as 10Sa RNA or SsrA, is named for its dual tRNA and mRNA-like properties. Its role is to liberate the mRNA from a stalled ribosome. RNAcentral also lists the same sequence under 1 other name. The record is from RNAcentral. Lineage: Bacteria; Candidatus Harrisoniibacteriota.